GGGGGUGUAGUUAAAUGGUAUAACUCCGGUCUCCAAAACCGGUAUCGAGGGUUCGAUUCCUUCCACCCCUGCCA
RNAcentral lists this transfer RNA (74 nucleotides) under Parcubacteria group bacterium CG_4_10_14_0_2_um_filter_41_6. RNAcentral's name for it is "tRNA-Trp". It matches the Rfam family "tRNA". From Rfam's summary of the family: Transfer RNA (tRNA) molecules are approximately 80 nucleotides in length. Their secondary structure includes four short double-helical elements and three loops (D, anti-codon, and T loops). Further hydrogen bonds mediate the characteristic L-shaped molecular structure. tRNAs have two regions of fundamental functional importance: the anti-codon, which is responsible for specific mRNA codon recognition, and the 3' end, to which the tRNAs corresponding amino acid is attached (by aminoacyl-tRNA synthetases). tRNAs cope with the degeneracy of the genetic code in two manners: having more than one tRNA (with a specific anti-codon) for a particular amino acid; and 'wobble' base-pairing, i.e. permitting non-standard base-pairing at the 3rd anti-codon position. The record is from RNAcentral. RNAcentral also lists the same sequence under 1 other name.